UAAGGAAUAUUGCGCAAUGGAGGCAACUCUGACGCAGCAACGCCGCGUGCAGGAUGAAGGCCCUUUGGGUCGUAAACUGCUGUAGCAGGGGAAUAAUGGCUCGCCACAGGUGAGCGUGCAGGUACCCUGAAAGUAAGCGCCGGCUAACUACGUGCCAGCAGCCGCGGUAAUACGUAGGGCGCAAGCGUUGUCCGGAAUCACUGGGUGUAAAGGGUGCGUAGGCGGAUGGGUAAGUCAGCGGUGAAAUCUCACGGCUCAACCGUGAAACUGCCGAUGAUACUGCCCAUCUUGAGUUCGGGAGAGGUCGAUGGAAUUCCAGGUGUAGCGGUGAAAUGCGUAGAUAUCUGGAAGAACACCAGUGGCGAAGGCGGUCGACUGGCCCGUAACUGACGCUGAGGCACGAAAGCGUGGGGAUCAAACAG
This 422-nucleotide ribosomal RNA is filed under the name uncultured bacterium. RNAcentral's name for it is "bacterial SSU rRNA". It matches the Rfam family "Bacterial small subunit ribosomal RNA", at positions 355 to 775 of the family's 1533-position model. The record is from RNAcentral.